GGUUCAUGUGCCCUGCAAAAUUAGCCCAGGCCUGUGACACCCACCUGGAAAUCCCAGUGACCUGGGAGGCUGAGGCAGAAGAAUCAUAAGUUCAAGGCCAGCCUCAACAAUUAGCAAGGUCCAGUCUCAAAAUUAAAAAGGCUGGGAGGGUCGCUCAGUGGUCAGGACCCUCUGGGCUCCAUCCCGGGAGAGAAGAAAGUCCAAAGGAAACAUUAUGUCAUAGGCAUUUUACUCCAAUUUAAAAUGUCCGUGCCCAGCUGCAGGGUGGGGGGUGGCGACCCCGGUGGCCCUGGCCCUCAGGAUCACAGGCGGCAGCUGGCAGAGCGGUCCCUGGCACCUCGGCCCGCCCUGCGAAGACCCCACCUGGGCCGGUUCCGGGCGCCCAGGUGCUUUAGCCUCCCGAGCCCGUCGGGGGCGUCCGAUCCCCGCGCUCGCCUCCACCCGCCCCGACCGGGCAGCUCCAGGGCGACCCGCGGCAGCCCCACGCCCUCUGCUCGCGGCGUCCACCUUCUUUCUCCAUUUUGGAACCUGCCGCCGAGGGUUUCGCGGAGUCGGGGACAGGACAGCGCCGCGGGCGUCCGGGCUGCAGCGCCACCUGCCGGCGGCCCGCAGAUCGCAGCGGCGCGCAGAGAGGCAGGUGCAGGCGGCGGCGCAGGGACCCCGGGCCGCGGGGCAGUGGAGACCUGUCCAGGGCCAAUGCGGGCGCUGGGAACAGUGCCACGUGCUGACCAGAGCUGGCAGCACCCGGGACCCCUGGGAGGUCCUGCCGCAGCCUCGAGACCGCGGAAGUGGCGGCCGAGCCAGCUUUGCACCUGGGGACCCUCCCGCGCGGUCCUCCUCCCGGAGAGCCUCGGGGCCCAGCCACGCCCAGGCCCUCGGAGGGGUUAGUGCCUUUCCUUUGUCUCCUUCCCCCUCCCUCCUCCUGCUGGGAAAUCUGAUAAGCUCGGAAAGCUGAGCCCUGGUGGACCCGGUGGCCAGAUUCUGCAUCAGAGAACAGAGGCCAUGUCCCCAAGGGGGUCACUCCACCACCAGCCGGCCUUCCGAAGCAAUCCUUGCAGCGCCAUUUAGACUAAAAAGAAAAAAAAAAAUGUGUUGUUCAUCUGAAGCUCGCGCGGCCCUACCUUAGGGACCACCGUGCUCCGUCCUGCAGACUGAGCCCAGGGCACUCACUGCACCGGGUCCACCUGAUGCUUUGAACCCAGCCCCUGCUGCCCCUCCAGCCACUGUGGCUUAUUUUAAAACGGACAUGUUUCUUUCUCUUCCUCUCCCUGUCCUCCCCAGUCUCAGGGGAAACAGGAUCACCUUUCUUCUGUCCUGAGCACCACCCACCAUGGGAAGGAAGUCAUCCAGACUUGGGGAUGGCACCAGAAGAUCUCAGAAAUGACCCUCUCCUAAAUUAACAAGUGAAUUACAGCUCAGACCUAGAACACGUGGAAGGUGGCCUUUGAAUCACCUCUUUAAAAGCCCCCUUGUUCCUGCUCAUGGGCAGAAUCCCAGCCUCUGGGACAGCAGUCCCCUGUGUUUCUCCUUUGCUAGCAAAGCAGUAAACCUUGUUUUUUCCUUUUUGUCAAAA
RNAcentral lists this long non-coding RNA (1573 nucleotides) under Marmota monax (woodchuck). The record is from RNAcentral. Lineage: Eukaryota; Metazoa; Chordata; Mammalia; Rodentia; Sciuridae.